UCACAGAAUGUGAUAACAAUCACUAUGGAGCAGAUUGCCGUCAAGUAUGUCAUUGCGAUUCAGGUGACUGUGACCGAAAGACAGGGAAUUGUGCAUCCGGGUCAUCUUGUUUGAAUAAUUACAAGGGACCAGCGUGCCAAGAAUUACUGCCAGGCCUGUCCUGUACGCGAUCUGGUUUCUUUGGUGUGUUGUGUAACUAUCCAUGUCAUUGCAAAGACUCAGCUGAUUGCAAUCGUAAUGGAAGCUGUGACAAUGGAUGCCACGAAGCAUGGGCGGGAGCGGACUGCAGUAUAGCACUACCUUACAGCUCCAAACCGCCAACACUCUUGAAUCAAACAGCAACCACCCUAAAGAUUGCCGCCUGCAGCUGGGAUCCAGUUCAAGACUUUGGAACAGGGAAUAUUACAGGAUGUAAGCUAUGGUAU
This is a long non-coding RNA of Anneissia japonica, 425 nucleotides long. RefSeq lists it as uncharacterized. Lineage: Eukaryota; Metazoa; Echinodermata; Crinoidea; Comatulida; Comatulidae. The record is from RefSeq and is a predicted model, not a curated record. The transcript has 3 exons.